Molecule: RNA transcript, 2301 nt
Organism: Brienomyrus brachyistius
Lineage: Eukaryota; Metazoa; Chordata; Actinopteri; Osteoglossiformes; Mormyridae
Gene: xrcc2
Gene name: X-ray repair complementing defective repair in Chinese hamster cells 2
Exons: 5
Source: RefSeq, a predicted model, not a curated record
UGUGUGUGAGUGAAACCAGACUCUUGCCAAACUCCUGAUAACUCCUGCACAGCAGCACCUAGCGUGGAACUUACUAUGGCAAAUCAUGAAACCUCUCAAAUGGAUUCUAUAAGAACAUCGUUGAAGCAUUAUAUCUGUUUUUGUAUCCUCUAAAAAGAAAUCGCUUUCACGACUCCAAUAAAAAAGAUUACAUUUAUCAUCCUGUAAUUUGUGUUUAUGAGCUGUACCGUUUUAUUCUAGCAUACUUACCGGUAAAGUUUCGAAAGCUAAACGUAUACGUGAAAUUCGAAGGAUAUUUUCUGAUUUUAGCAGCAUUUUUAGCAAUUUAAAACGUUUUGCAACUUAAAUAUCUCUAUUUUUACUAACUCUAACAGAAACUUUUUGUAACAUUUGCAGAACGAUGAUAUAAUCCGAAAUUAAUAUUAUAUGAUUCCGUAUAUUUGCAGAAAAGCUAAUAAAUCUAGAGGAAGGUAUUAAAACAAAACUUAAGGUGCGCGUAUAUGCCAUAUGGUACGGUAAGGACAGGACCACGAGAAGUAGCCGGAAGUAGCACCCUGAAAGCUGUAGGUGUGCAGUGGCAUGAGUUAAUCGCGGCAUGACGCAUCCAUCAAGGUCCUCUGAAUCCGGGGCGCAGCUGCUUGCCAGACUUGAAGGAAAACGAUGCCUGAAGGGGUUAGAUUUUCAGCUUUUUCCUGAUGACUGUUGUCCAGCUCAGGGAGAUGUGGUCGAGUUCCACGGUAUGGAAGGAACAGGCAAGACAGAGACCUUGUACCACCUGGUGACCUGUUGCAUCCUCCCAGGGGAGCUUGGUGGCCUGGAGGUGGAAGUGAUGUACGUGGACACUGACUACCACUUUGACAUUCUGCGCCUGGUGUCCAUCCUGGAGCACCGGCUGCCCCAGGGCUCAGAGGAGAUUCUGCGAGCAUGCCUGUGCCGUAUAUCGGUAGUCCACUGCUCCAGCAGCCUCCAGCUGCUGCUCACGCUGCACCAUGUGGAGGGCACACUCCUCAACCGGCCCUCCCUGAGCCUCCUGGUCAUCGACAGCAUCUCCGCCUUCUACUGGGUGGAUAAAUACAAUGGGGGGGACAGCGUGGCCCGUCAGGAGGCCAACCUCCGGAGGAUCGCCGAACUCCUGGAGAAAAUCGUGAAGGAGCACCGCAUUGCAGUGUUUGCCACCACUCAUGCCGUCAUGAGGAGUAACUCUGCAGAGGAGGUGGCUGAGGGGCUGUGAAUUUACAUUUCAUUUACUUCUUUGGAUUUGGGCGAUUGAUUAUGUGUCGCUUUCCGCGCGCAGUCGUGCACAUGCAGUAGAUCAGUGUUUCUCAAGCUGGUCCUGAAGGACCCCCAGACUGUCCACAUUGCUGCCUCCCAGUUCACAGCACACCAAUGCCAGAUAUUCACCGUUCUUGAUUGAUUGGUUCGGGUGUUCCGGGAGACAAAUGUGGACUGUGGGGAGGGGGAACCGAAGGACUUGUAAAACACUUCUGUAGAUGUUGUGUUCCACCCCUGAUCGUGGAGGAUUGCAUCAUCCAGAAGAGGGCGCUAAUGGCCACCGGGGGUGAUGGUGUGAAUCUGAUAUGGACGUGAGCCAUGGAGCAUGAAGAACAGGAAAGUCAUCCGUAGCUCUAGUCCCUUUUUGUUUCAGGAAAAUCUGUUUCGGCUUUUUUCUGGCAUUGCACAGCUCUAAGGCUUAGUUACGCACUCUUAAGUCCUCUUACAUUCGGACACAAGUGCAAAUUAAUUCAAUUUAUAAUGAAUGCAAACACUGAGAACCAGCGAAUAAUAUUUACCCCAUGACCGCGCUGUUGGAUGAAUCAUUUCCAACCCUGGGUUUUGGCGGCUCAUUCUGAACAUAACCUUCAGUGGGCUCAUCCUUUGAAAUAUAAAUGCCACUAAAAUGCAUCUUUCCCCCCCCGUCCCAUGCUUUGUGCCUCCUCUGAAUAGGAAAUUGCCAAAAUUGCCCCAGCUGGUAGGAGUUAAUGCUGAGAAGCUCUCCACUUUGUCUAAUUAUCGUUUGACUUCUGACACGGGUGGGCCGCAUCCCAUAAUAAUGCCUUCUAAAACCCAUAAAUCGCCCCUGCAAUUAGGCCUGUAAAUGUGUCCCAUGCACGGAUAUGGCUAAUCGCUCCCCCGUACCCGCCAGCUGUACUGUAAAUAACAGUUGCGGUUACUUUUCACCAUUAAUCCUAAUAUUCCUUUGGUGGCUUCUCCUCCUUAACCGUCCUGCAUGGAAUAAUUAACUCCAAGUAGAUAGCUAUUAUUAACGAGUUUCUGUAGGAAGGCCUGGUCACACCAGCUGUU